This is a long non-coding RNA of Melopsittacus undulatus (budgerigar), 324 nucleotides long. RefSeq lists it as uncharacterized. The transcript has 3 exons. The record is from RefSeq and is a predicted model, not a curated record. Lineage: Eukaryota; Metazoa; Chordata; Aves; Psittaciformes; Psittaculidae.
UGGCUGCACUGUGGCAGCUGCAUGCUACACCUACACAGCACUGGUGUGCAAACAGCGCAGGUGAUUUAAACAGAAGCCUCACAUGAGAGCAAACAGGAAAAAUGCUUAGUGGCAACUUGGUCUACCCAAGUAUACAAGCAUGAUCUUAACUUUAGACUCUCAGUUUUAGCAAGGCAUAAUCUACUGGAUUGAUUCACCUUCUUAAAGGCUGCUUUCUCCACUGAAAGCAUGUCUCAGACUACAGAAAACAUCUGUCUGUUGAUGAAUACUCUGAAAUGAGGAAGAAAGGAAGGAAGGAAGGAAGGAAGGAAGGAAGGAAGAAAG